Molecule: ribosomal RNA, 253 nt
Filed under: uncultured bacterium
Lineage: Bacteria
Description: partial 16S ribosomal RNA
Rfam family: Bacterial small subunit ribosomal RNA
Source: RNAcentral
UACGUAGGGGGCUAGCGUUGUCCGGAAUCAUUGGGCGUAAAGCGCGCGUAGGCGGCCCGGUAAGUCCGUUGUGAAAGUCAAAGGCUCAACCUUUGAAAGCCGAUGGAUACUGCCGGGCUAGAGUCCGGAAGAGGCGAGUGGAAUUCCUGGUGUAGCGGUGGAAUGCGCAGAUAUCAGGAGGAACACCGAUAGCGAAGGCAGCUCGCUGGGACGGUACUGACGCUGAGGCGCGAAAGCGUGGGGAGCGAACAGG